Molecule: transfer RNA, 72 nt
Filed under: Microcycas calocoma
Lineage: Eukaryota; Viridiplantae; Streptophyta; Cycadopsida; Cycadales; Zamiaceae
Description: tRNA-Thr
Rfam family: tRNA
About the family: Transfer RNA (tRNA) molecules are approximately 80 nucleotides in length. Their secondary structure includes four short double-helical elements and three loops (D, anti-codon, and T loops). Further hydrogen bonds mediate the characteristic L-shaped molecular structure. tRNAs have two regions of fundamental functional importance: the anti-codon, which is responsible for specific mRNA codon recognition, and the 3' end, to which the tRNAs corresponding amino acid is attached (by aminoacyl-tRNA synthetases). tRNAs cope with the degeneracy of the genetic code in two manners: having more than one tRNA (with a specific anti-codon) for a particular amino acid; and 'wobble' base-pairing, i.e. permitting non-standard base-pairing at the 3rd anti-codon position.
Source: RNAcentral
GCCCUUUUAGCUCGGCGGUAGAGUAACGCCAUGGUAAGGCGUAAGUCGUUGGUUCAAAUCUGACAAAGGGUU